Molecule: long non-coding RNA, 182 nt
Organism: Poecilia latipinna (sailfin molly)
Lineage: Eukaryota; Metazoa; Chordata; Actinopteri; Cyprinodontiformes; Poeciliidae
Exons: 2
Source: RefSeq, a predicted model, not a curated record
GAAAUAACAUGUUUGACGCUGUCUGACACUGACUCUUCUGCUCAAGACGCAGCUUUAGAAAGUCCUAAAGGUUGACUACAUGUAGUCACUCCACACUACAGGUAGAUAACUUCUGUACUGUAACACCAAAUCCAGUUUUUGUUCCAGUACUUAAAGCUAUAAACUCUACAGUAAUACAAAUA